GAUGCACUUAUAGGCUCGAGAAAAGUCUGUUUGGAAUACCCGGAGAUAGGAGUUGAUUGAGGAAUUGAUCUAGCGUUCAAUUUACAAAUCCAAAAUUAUCCCCGUGGCCUAGUUCCCACACCCGCCGAACUCCUCUUCCCCCAAGCCCUUGCGCGCCGCUCCACCUUCCGACGCUGCCUCCCUUCCUUCGCCAAACCCUCUCCUCUUCAAAAACCGCCGGCCUCUUUCUCUCAGGCGAGCACCAGCCGAUCCUCUCUCGCGAUUUUUCUCCCCAAAUCCACCGUUGACUCCUUCUUCCCUCUCCCUCUCGCGAGUUCCGUCACCCUCAUCGGUCUCUUCUCCUCACGCGAGCAUCACAGCCACGACUCUCUCUCCCUUGCACAAGCACCACAGACUGCAGCCGCCAGCCUCUCCUCACGCGAGCACCAGAGAUGAACGCCACCGCACUUGAUCGCACGGCGUUGCUUAGGCCGUCGCCCGCCGGAGCCUUCUAAUCCCUCAACCUCUCAUCUACAACUCCGCCAGGUACACCUCUCCUCGGCUCUCUUCCGCAUAGCUCGAUCUUCAGCGGAAGGGGUGGGAAAUCUGAGCCCUAGCUUCGCUGGACUUGGAGCUUGCUUGAAUUGAGGGUGGUCGGCAUUCCAGACGGCAACAGGUAGAUGAGUCAUGGAUGCUUGGAGAGAUGUUGCCUGCCAGUCCUGUGUCAUAUCCGAGGAAUGAUUUUGGUUUUGUUUCUCUUUACUUGCAUUUCGUAUUCGUUGGAUUUGGUGCUAUGGGAACUAACUAUAUUUUGAUACUUGUUUUGUGGACUUUGUAUCUGUGAUAUUUUGUGGACUUUGCAUUUGUGGAUUUUCUUUCCAUUA
Zingiber officinale is the source of this 863-nucleotide long non-coding RNA. RefSeq lists it as uncharacterized. The transcript is spliced from 2 exons. NCBI's taxonomy places the organism in Eukaryota, Viridiplantae, Streptophyta, Magnoliopsida, Zingiberales, Zingiberaceae. The record is from RefSeq and is a predicted model, not a curated record.